AGCAGCCGCGGUAAUUCCAGCUCCAAUAGCGUAUAUUAAAGUUGUUGCAGUUAAAAAGCUCGUAGUUGAAUUUCGGGGUUAGCAGGUCGGUCGUGCCAUUGGUAUGAACUGGUCUCGCUGAUCCCUCCCUCUUGACGAACUGUGAUGCCAUUAAUUUGGUGUCGCAGGGAAUCAGGACUGUUACUUUGAAAAAUUAGAGUGUUUAAAGCAGGCUCACGCUUGAAUACAUUAGCAUGGAAUAAUGAAAUAGGACGUUUGAUCCUAUUUUGUUGGCUUCUAGGAUUGACGUAAUGAUUAAUAGGGAUAGUUGGGGGCAUUAGUAUUCAAUUGUCAGAGGUGAAAUUCUUGGAUUUAUUGAAGACUAACUACUGCGAAAGCAUUUGCCAAGGAUGUUUUCAUUAAUCAAGAACGAAAGUUAGGGGAUCGAAGACGAUCAGAUACCGUCGUAGUCUUAACCAUAAACUAUGCCGACUAGGGAUCGGAUGAUGUUAAUUUUUAAUGACU
This 504-nucleotide unclassified non-coding RNA is filed under the name uncultured Glomus. RNAcentral's name for it is "SSU rRNA". It matches the Rfam family "Eukaryotic small subunit ribosomal RNA", at positions 569 to 1076 of the family's 1831-position model. The record is from RNAcentral. Lineage: Eukaryota; Fungi; Glomeromycota; Glomeromycetes; Glomerales; Glomeraceae.